RNAcentral lists this ribosomal RNA (488 nucleotides) under uncultured bacterium. RNAcentral describes it as "bacterial SSU rRNA". It matches the Rfam family "Bacterial small subunit ribosomal RNA", at positions 28 to 507 of the family's 1533-position model. The record is from RNAcentral.
GAUGAACGCUAGCGGGAGGCUUAACACAUGCAAGUCGAGGGGCAGCAUAGGGUAGCAAUACUCUGAUGGCGACCGGCAAACGGGUGAGUAACGCGUAUGCAACCUACCCUGUACAGGGGGAUAACCCGGAGAAAUUCGGACUAAUAUCCCGUAAUAAUAUCCGGAGGCAUCUUUGGAUAUUUAAAGUUUCGACGGUACGGGAUGGGCAUGCGUAACAUUAGCUGGUUGGUAAGGUAACGGCUUACCAAGGCUAUGAUGUUUAGGGGUCCUGAGAGGGUGGUCCCCCACACUGGUACUGAGACACGGACCAGACUCCUACGGGAGGCAGCAGUGAGGAAUAUUGGUCAAUGGGCGCAAGCCUGAACCAGCCAUCCCGCGUGCAGGAAGACGGCCCUAAUGGGUUGUAAACUGCUUUUCCAGGGAGAGAAACUUACGCACGUGUUGCGUGACUGACGGUACCCUGGGAAUAAGCAUCGGCUAACUCCGUG